GGCACGGUAUCCUCUAAUCCCUUUCACCAUCCUCCAAACCAAAAGAAAUUCCGCAAAACCCUAACCUGUCAGGGACACUCUGCUCUCGCCGUGCUCCGCAACGUCCAAGCAAGCGCCGGCGCGCGGCCCCGGCGGCGCGACCACCCGUACCACCCGAUCUCUCACCAUGGAGAAGGUAAUCCCGGUCUCAUCCGCUCCCAUUGAUGGAUCUCUCUGCUCGCGCGCCUCUGAUUCGAGUUUUGCUGGCCUCGUGCAGCCCGUGGCGCAGGCACCGGAGAAGGCGGCGUCAGAGGAGAAGGUUUGUGCGGAAGUCGCCGCGACGGCUGUCCAAUUUUGCGUUCUGUUUAUUAUCAGCGGCUCAUCCGAUUUCUGUCUUCUCUCGUUUGGUGGUGAUGCGAGCAGCUGCUUGACGACAAGGAGCUAGAGCUAGAGCGGGAGCGGAAACUGAAGAAAGAGCAGAAGGUAUGCUUGCCCGAGAUCCGUGUGAACUUGCUCUCGUGAGUUUGGUCCUUGUGCUGUUGUUCGCUUUGCCAAUUAUAUCGUUAAUUGGCAGUUCGCCCGAAUUGGUUAUUGAAAUGUGUUGAUCUGUGAAUUUUACCAAUGUUAGAAACCAGUUCAGUGCUAAGUUAAAAUUAUUUCUUAUUUUCU
Molecule: long non-coding RNA, 648 nt
Filed under: Hordeum vulgare
Lineage: Eukaryota; Viridiplantae; Streptophyta; Magnoliopsida; Poales; Poaceae
Description: long non-coding RNA (HVUL_LNC015813)
Source: RNAcentral